GGGGAUGACAGGCUUCGACAGGGGAGGCUGUCAGCGAACUGCAGGCCGGAGCGCCUAUCUCCGUAACAUGGGCAAGCCAAUAACUGGCACCAACAACCAAAUGCAGGCGCUCCCUCUCGCCGCGUAAGCGGGGAGAAGGGGUGCUGUAGCCGCCCUCGGGCGGCUAGGCCCCAGGUUGAGCCACUCCGGAGCGCGGCUUGGGGCGAUGACAAAGCCGGAGUGCUCGGUUGCCGAUGCUGAUAGGCAACCGCUAAGAACCAUCGGCUGGCCCGGUUCCAUCCCGCCGGUUGGGUCGGCGCCGGGCGAGAUACAAUAGCCGGAUAAGCCUGUAGCAAGUUCUCUGGCGAAUCCUUUGGACGCGGGUUCGAUUCCCGCCAUCUCCACCU
Molecule: transfer-messenger RNA, 386 nt
Filed under: Anaerolineae
Lineage: Bacteria; Bacillati; Chloroflexota
Also listed under: 1 other name
Description: g Ch71 X1 Standard tmRNA
Rfam family: transfer-messenger RNA
About the family: Bacterial tmRNA, also known as 10Sa RNA or SsrA, is named for its dual tRNA and mRNA-like properties.
Source: RNAcentral